RNAcentral lists this ribosomal RNA (293 nucleotides) under uncultured bacterium. RNAcentral describes it as "partial 16S ribosomal RNA". The record is from RNAcentral.
GGACUACCCGGGUAUCUAAUCCUUUUCGCUCCCCACGCUUUCGUGCCUCAACGUCAGAUAUAGAAUGACUGAUUGCCUUCGCCUUUGAUGUUCUCUCUAUAUAUCAGCGGAUUUUACCCCUCCACAUAGGAUUCCAUCAGCCUCCUCUAUUCUCUAGUUUGAUAGUAUUAAUAGCUUCCACAAGGUUGAGCCCUGAUUUACCACCACUAACUUUUCAAACAGCCUACGCACCCUUUACGCCCAAUAAUUCCGGAUAACGCUCGCCGUCUAUGUAUUACCGCGGCUGCUGGCAC